RNAcentral lists this non-coding RNA (179 nucleotides) under bacterium. RNAcentral's name for it is "6S RNA". It matches the Rfam family "6S / SsrS RNA". From Rfam's summary of the family: E. coli 6S RNA was the first non coding RNA to be sequenced, but its function was unknown until recently. It consists of 184 nucleotides that fold into an extended hairpin structure with a large single-stranded internal bulge. The 6S RNA specifically associates with RNA polymerase holoenzyme containing the sigma70 specificity factor. The record is from RNAcentral.
UGAUUCCUGGGCUGUUCGAUAUCUUGCAUUUUUUUGAGCCUACAUUAUGACAUACGGGAUUCCAAUAUUUUUAAGCAGAUGUCAGGCCUCCUCUGAGUGGAAGACAGAAACUUAAGUGAGGUUGCCCACCUAGCAUGGCUAGGAGUCAAUGGUGCAGGAGUCGGCACUCUGGGGAUUAC